Molecule: RNA transcript, 716 nt
Organism: Cebus imitator (Panamanian white-faced capuchin)
Lineage: Eukaryota; Metazoa; Chordata; Mammalia; Primates; Cebidae
Gene name: molybdopterin synthase sulfur carrier subunit-like
Exons: 1
Source: RefSeq, a predicted model, not a curated record
GCCUCUGCGGUUGCGGUUAGGUCCAGAGGUCCCUAGCGGGAUGGUGCCUCGGUGCCAGGUUGAAGUAUUGUAUUUUGCAAAAAGUGCUGAAAUAACAGGAGUUCGUUCAGAGAUCAUUUCUGUGCCACAAGAAAUAAAAGCAUUGCAGCUGUGGAAGGAGAUAUCCUGGAUUGGCUGCUGCUAGAAAUCAGGUCAUAUUUGCCGUUCGUCAAGAAUAUGUCAAGCUUGGAGAUCAGCUCCUCCUGCUUCAACCAGGAGACAAAAUUGCUGUUAUCCCCCCCAUUAGCAGAGGGUAGUGCUUUUGAGCCAUAUAGAGGAGAUAUGGAUGAAGUUGAAGAGAAAUCUAAAAACAUUAUAAACUUUACUGCCGAGAAACUUUCAGUAGAUGAAGUCUCACAAUUGGUGAUUUCUCCGCUCUGUGGUGCAAUAUCCCGAUUUGUAGGGACUACAAGAAAUAACUUUGAAGGGAAAAAAGUCAUUAGCUUAGAAUACGAAGCAUAUCUACCCAUGGCGGAUAAUGAAGUCAGAAAGAUUUGUAGUGACAUUAGGCAGAAAUGGCCAGUGAAACACAUAGCAGUGCUCCAUAGACUUGGCUUGGUUCCAGUGUCAGAAGCAAGCAUAAUCAUUGCUGUGUCCUCAGCCCACAGAGCUGCAUCCCUUGAAGCUGUGAGCGACGCCAUUGAUACUUUAAAAGCCAAGGUGCCCAUAUGGAAAAA